RNAcentral lists this ribosomal RNA (492 nucleotides) under uncultured bacterium. RNAcentral describes it as "partial 16S ribosomal RNA". It matches the Rfam family "Bacterial small subunit ribosomal RNA", at positions 29 to 507 of the family's 1533-position model. The record is from RNAcentral.
AGUGAACGCUGGCGGUAGGCCUAACACAUGCAAGUCGAACGGCAGCACAGUAAGAGCUUGCUCUUACGGGUGGCGAGUGGCGGACGGGUGAGGAAUACAUCGGAAUCUACUUUUUCGUGGGGGAUAACGUAGGGAAACUUCCGCUAAUACCGCAUACGACCUACGGGUGAAAGCAGGGGAUCUUCGGACCUUGCGCGAUUGCAUGAGCCGAUGUCGGAUUAGCUAGUUGGCGGGGUAAAGGCCCACCAAGGCGACGAUCCGUAGCUGGUCUGAGAGGAUGAUCAGCCACACUGGAACUGAGACACGGUCCAGACUCCUACGGGAGGCAGCAGUGGGGAAUAUUGGACAAUGGGCGCAAGCCUGAUCCAGCCAUACCGCGUGGGUGAAGAAGGCCUUCGGGUUGUAAAGCCCUUUUGUUGGGAAAGAAAAGCAGCAGGUUAAUACCCCGCUGUUCUGACGGUACCCAAAGAAUAAGCACCGGCUAACUUCGUG